RNAcentral lists this ribosomal RNA (504 nucleotides) under Triticum aestivum (bread wheat). RNAcentral describes it as "partial small subunit ribosomal RNA". The record is from RNAcentral. Lineage: Eukaryota; Viridiplantae; Streptophyta; Magnoliopsida; Poales; Poaceae.
AUGUCCUACCCGCAUCCCCGCCCAGAGCCGCCACCGCAACCGGUGGCCAGAUCCACCACGGUGCUUCCAGAUCCGCAGUGGCCAAGCAAUGGAGCUCAUCCACAAGUUCGUGCUACUGCUGCAGAAGAACUCAGCAUGCCCUUCAAGUUCGUCCAGAUCCACAGUGCCAAGAGGGACCUGACGGAGGAGGAAGAGGAGAAGGACCACCGGGAGGUCUUCAUGGCUCAGCUCCUUGCCCACAACCGGCGCUGCUCCAACCCUAGUAUAUGGGACAAGACUGUAGAAAAGCUUGUCGAUAUCGUCUUUUUUCUGGAUAUACAAAUCCGGGAUGCAUUCGGUGAAGCUGGUACCGACUUCAUGGAGCAAGGUCAGAACAAAAGGCUAGGUUCAUGUGGUCUGCCACUACAUUAUGCUAACAUCAUCAAUCAAACUGAAAAUAUAGCAAGUAAAUUUGACGACUCACAUGAUGUUUAUCAUGCCUGCUUAAUGCCCGAAUUUCCUUAA